GGAGGGGUGGCCGAGUGGUUAAAGGCGCCAGACUGUAAAUCUGGUCACUAUGUGUACGUUGGUUCGAAUCCAACCCCCUCCACCA
This 85-nucleotide transfer RNA is filed under the name Algimonas porphyrae. RNAcentral describes it as "tRNA-Tyr". It matches the Rfam family "tRNA". Rfam says of the family: Transfer RNA (tRNA) molecules are approximately 80 nucleotides in length. The record is from RNAcentral. RNAcentral also lists the same sequence under 3 other names. Lineage: Bacteria; Pseudomonadati; Pseudomonadota; Alphaproteobacteria; Maricaulales; Robiginitomaculaceae.